Small nucleolar RNA from Amblyraja radiata (thorny skate), 138 nucleotides. RefSeq annotates it as small nucleolar RNA SNORA77. The transcript has a single exon. The record is from RefSeq and is a predicted model, not a curated record. Lineage: Eukaryota; Metazoa; Chordata; Chondrichthyes; Rajiformes; Rajidae.
GCAGGCUUACUCUGUGCCAGGUUCCGACUCUCCAGCCUGGCACUUUUUCUGCCUGCUACAUUAAUGUUCUCAUCAACAAUGUUUGCAGUCUCAGUUCAUCCAGUGGAUAGGCUGCAUGUUGUGUUUGGGAGCACAGUA